GCUGGCGGUAGGCUUAACACAUGCAAGUCGAGCGGUAACAGGCAUUUUGAUUCAGCUUGCUGAAUCUCGCGCUGACGAGCGGCGGACGGGUGAGUAACGCGUAGGAAUCUACCUAGUAGAAGGGGAUAGCCCGGGGAAACUCGGAUUAAUACCGUAUACGUCCUUAGGGAGAAAGAGGGCUUAGCUUUGAUGCUCUCGCUAUUAGAUGAGCCUGCGUAAGAUUAGCUUGUUGGUGAGGUAAAGGCUCACCAAGGCUACGAUCUUUAGCUGGUCUGAGAGGACGAUCAGCCACAUUGGGACUGAGACACGGCCCAGACUCCUACGGGAGGCAGCAGUGGGGAAUAUUGGACAAUGGGCGCAAGCCUGAUCCAGCCAUACCGCGUGUGUGAAGAAGGCCUUCGGGUUGUAAAGCACUUUAAGUAAGGAAGAAAAGUAUAUUGUUAAUACCAAUGUACCGUGACAUUACUUACAGAAUAAGGACCGGCUAAUUCCGUGCCA
Molecule: ribosomal RNA, 498 nt
Filed under: uncultured Pseudomonadota bacterium
Lineage: Bacteria; Pseudomonadati; Pseudomonadota
Description: bacterial SSU rRNA
Rfam family: Bacterial small subunit ribosomal RNA
Source: RNAcentral